GAUGAACGCUGACAGAAUGCUUAACACAUGCAAGUCAACUUGAACUUCGGUUUGGGUGGCGGACGGGUGAGUAACGCGUAAAAAACUUGCCUCACAGAUAGGGACAACAUUUGGAAACGAAUGCUAAUACCUGAUAUUAUGAUUAUAUGGCAUCGUAUAAUUAUGAAAGCUAUAUGCGCUGUGAGAGAGCUUUGCGUCCCAUUAGCUAGUUGGAGAGGUAACGGCUCACCAAGGCGAUGAUGGGUAGCCGGCCUGAGAGGGUGAUCGGCCACAAGGGGACUGAGACACGGCCCUUACUCCUACGGGAGGCAGCAGUGGGGAAUAUUGGACAAUGGACCAAGAGUCUGAUCCAGCAAUUCUGUGUGCACGAUGAAGUUUUUCGGAAUGUAAAGUGCUUUCAGUUGGGAAGAAAAAAAUGACGGUACCAACAGAAGAAGUGACGGCUAAAUACGUG
This 454-nucleotide ribosomal RNA is filed under the name uncultured bacterium. Its description in RNAcentral is "partial 16S ribosomal RNA". It matches the Rfam family "Bacterial small subunit ribosomal RNA", at positions 28 to 507 of the family's 1533-position model. The record is from RNAcentral.